RNAcentral lists this transfer-messenger RNA (379 nucleotides) under chicken gut metagenome. It matches the Rfam family "transfer-messenger RNA". Rfam says of the family: Bacterial tmRNA, also known as 10Sa RNA or SsrA, is named for its dual tRNA and mRNA-like properties. Its role is to liberate the mRNA from a stalled ribosome. The record is from RNAcentral.
GGGGCUGAUAUGGUUUCGACGGGAAUAUGAGAGCAUAGAUGGCAAGUCGAAUGUCCACGUCACGGACACAAAAAAUAAACGCAAACAAAAUUAAAAAUGCAGUUGCUAACAUGUUUGGUAGAAGCCAAGCUGUAGCAUUUGCCUAAUAAUUUAAAGGCCUGCGCUUUCUUUUAUUUCUUACCUAGGAAAUAAUCGAAGGUUCAUAUUUUAUAGGUUAUAGCUAUUUUCUUCCCAGAAAAUAGAAAGAAUUAAAGGGAUAAUAUAUUAUCUUGGUCGUUAACUACUUGGGUAAUAUAUGAAUAUAACUAGUUAACUAAGCUUGUAGAAAUUUAUGUAGCUCUAUUUUCGGACAGGAGUUCGAUUCUCCUCAGCUCCACCA